CAAAAUAGAUGAGCAGUUAUGUAAGGUCAUGUGAGGAAAGUGGUUGGUCUUUGGUCAAUGAAAGAGUUAGUCACACAUCAUUGAGCUGGAUGGCCCUGGGAGGAAAUGUGGAGCCACUCUUUGUGUGUUCAAGGACUGCAGAGGGAGAACUUCAGCCAUAAUUCCUCACUACCCCCUGAGCUUAGGCCUCCCCUUUACAGACUAGGCAUUGCAGGAGGCAUCUGGUGGUGUUAACCAGAAAAUAGGGAGUUGAAGUUUGUUGAGAUCCUCCCCACCUUCCUCUUCCCAAAUCACUCAACCCUCCUCUGAAGGAAUUAAGCAACCACCUGAUGAUUUUAGGGUGCAAAUGUGCUGUUGUGCAUCCCCCCCAGCUCAUCUGCUCUGGAAGCACUCGGAGGCCAAUCUCUUGAAGGUCAUUUGAGACCAUUGGACUAGCAGGGCAGCAAGGCUUGCCUGGCAGCCUCCACGGGACAUGGAGCAGCAGUCACCUGGCACAAGCUAUCAGUAGGACUCAUGGCCUGAUGAGUGCGGAAGAGGGCUGGAAAGGAAACUCAUGUGGGGCAAGUGAUCACACUGUUUCCAUUAACUUAUGCUGGAUGCCAACAGUGCAGCUGAGCUGUUCUUGACCCCCGGUCUAUGGUAAUGAGAAGACUUUGCCGGAAGCCUUCAAGUGGAAUCUGUUGCUUUGGGAGCGAUUCAUCCAAGAUGGUCAAUUUUCACUGCAGAGGAGAAGGAAGGUCAUUCGGAAAUGUUCUCUCCAAGGAAAAACACUCUUCAUUUCUAUUUUAAUCCCUCUGGGGAUUAAUUGCCUCCUAAAAAAACCCUGGAACAGCAGAGAAGUAACAGCAUGCAGGCAAGCACGUGUGAUAAGGAGUAGGCUGGGGACAACUGUGUUUCAGACUGGCUGUUGCACAGAUUUGCUUUUUGAAAGCAUUUUUUAAGAGGCGGGGAGGGGAGGAACAGAAAAAAUGUUCCUGGAUAACAAGCUGUAGUUACAGCUGAAAACAACAGGAGAAAAUAUCCUAACUGGAGAGAAAAAACUCCAACUGCCUAUUAAGCACCCCCUUCCCCCACUCCUUUACCCAUAGGCCCAACUUCGUCUGCUGGGGCAGCACUGAGCUAUGGGGAGACUAUUCCCAGACAUUUCAGGUUGUAGCUGGAUAAUGUGGUAAACCUCACAGUAGGGCUCCUGCCAUCAGAUCAAACACACCCUGGCCAUGCCAUGCACAGAGUAAGUAAGUAUAAACUUGUUCUUUCAAAAUAUUUAGUGAAUUUUUGAGACAACAAUUCAUGCACAGUCAGGCUUCAUGCCUGUGCUGCUCUGUCUUUUCUUCUGGAUCAGGUGCUGUCCAUCCUCCCAACAGAUGGGACAAAGCCAUCACAAGCACCAUUCAACAGAAAUGAGCUCUGUUGCCAUGCCUCAGCCAGACCAGAUUUAUAGGGAUGCAGAUGGGCAUCGGUUGGAUGAAAGCAAUCAGAUCCUCACCCCCGAAUAUGUAUCACCAAGAUAAGCAUGGGUAGACUGGCAGGUGUUGUUCAAAUGCAGGAUUUCAGGAGGUUAUUUGAAAGCCAAGUCACCGAGGGGCAUCACAAUUUAGCUGGGUCAGUUUGUCUAGGUAAGGGUCACAACCAGAAGCUCCUUUGGCCAGUGCUGUUGCUGAGAUGUGUGGAGCUGCAUCCUCCAUAACAGUGCUCCUGUUGACUUCUUGGCUGUGUCCCCAUCAGGCCCAGAUCUGCUUCGUUGUGAAACCCGAGAGUAGUAUCCUAUGCCUGGCAGGAAUGAAGACCAAAGUAAAUAAGCCUUGAUAGAAAACACACUUGUUAGGGAGAGAACGCGUGUUAGAUUUCAUAAUUCACCUUGGGACUCAUUCACCGAAGGCAGUUCUGAGCCCAUUAGCACUGAUAUCUAUUUUUAGCUCUCAUUCCUGUCAGCUGCGGGUCCCAGUCCAUGCAUGUGACAUGCUGUCAAGGAUCCCUUUUUUUUUUCUUUAACAUUUAAAAAAACUACUGUGAGGUUUUUUUUCUGCUGGCUGUUCAACCUCCUCUCUGAAGCAGUAAGGGGAGAAGCUGAGCUGCUCUGCCUGUGGAGAGGUUUGCCAUUCCUCAUGGCUGAAGAUUUUCUAACCAUCCUUCACUUUCUGGCUGUUUCUGUGCAUCAGGGAUCCAUUUCAGCAAGUGCACAGGACAUAGGGGUGCUGGCUGGGCAAACCUCUGGGAGGUGACACCAACCUUCCCAGGCAUGCUUAGGAAGCACAGCUGUUUUCAAGCUAUAGUAGGAAAGUUCUAGUGGCAUUUCACUGGAGAGGUUUUCGGUAUCUCCUUCCUGAUCAGAUCUCCCCUCUGGGCUGUUUGAACUGGCUGUUUGCCUGACAGCAGCACAGGCCUCCCAGAGGCAGAGAGAAUUUUUUGUGUACCAUGUGGGAAAUUUGGGGCCUUCUGAAGUGAAAGAGAGCAUAGAAAUGCAAGAUCCUAUGGCUGCUGUUACCAGAGCUGAGCAAUCCAGCCAUUUUCCAGACUUCUGCAGAGCAAGAGAGCUCAAAGGUUAACAUAAGUGAAGAUGUUAUUGUGCUUGGGAAGCCAGAUGAAAGAAGCAGGAAGAUGAAUGACUUCAUGGGAGCAAAGAUGAGUGUGAUGAGAGGGGUUUCUGUCAUUCCAUAUAGGAAGUAAAACUUUCCGUGGAUACAGACCUUCUGCCAUACUUUUCAUCAGCAAAGCCCAGGAGUCCAGAGACUCUUGGGAUGGUGCAUGGAGUGACAGGGAGAGAGAAGGGCUGCAGAGGCUGGAGGUGAGGCAGAGGAUGAGGGAGAGGAGCACAGCAAUAUCUGAAGCAAGUGCAGCAGGAGCUGUGUGAGAGCACAGAAGGGGCCCCAAGCACUGGCACAAUUUAGGAGCUGAUGGAGUAUGAAGCUGUGAGUGUAAGCUAUGGAAGGUCCCUGGGAGGUAUGUUCAAAGCCAGUCUCCUGGGGAACCUAUCCAAAAGGCUUUACUGAAUAUAUUUGUUUAUACAUUUCCACCUAAUUGGGGUUAAUCUGCUUUCUGCUUUGGCUAAUCAGCUGGUUCAGAGGCCUAAUAGGUUGGAGGGGGAUGUUUUGCCCUCCUCCUGUUUUCAGGCCAUGAAGUCAGGGGCAAGAGAGCACUGUGGAGGGGCUCAGAGUUGCCUGCUGUCAAAUCUGGCGUAAAAGUACUUUAUCCCUUGAGGAAUGGUGCUGGAGAGCAGGUCUCCAGGAGAGACUAGUGCCUUUCUUCUUGCUAAUUGGUGGGUCUCAUGAAAAUGAAGGAUUACCGGGGAAAAAAAACACCUCUGCAAGAGCCUAGCACUAAGUGAGGUAACUGCUCUGUAGAAGUCUGCUGAGGCUCCCAAAUCCUGGUGGGUACCGUCCCCAGCUGGUCCUAUGUCCUGACCUUAUCCUUCUAACUCAGGCCCCCACCUCCAGCAAAGGAUAUGCAUGAGUUGGGCACACAUGCCUGGUGUCCAUCCAUCCCCUGUGAACUUUCUCUUCUGGGAGCCCUUCUGUGCCCAUCUGCUCAGGGACUGAUGCUAUUUCAGGUCCCUUUGCUGGCCACGUGGAGGUGAGUCAUGGGCCCCUCAUGCAAAAACUUCCUUGUAAUUUUAGGUUAAAGGAGACACUGUUGCCACCAGCACAUCCUGCCCUUUGAGGGUGGAAAAAAAGUCAGGAUGAGCUCAACCAUGUGACAAGAGCUCAUUGCGCUAAGGAGAAGCUGCUGUAAAUGCUGUCUCUAAUUACUGCAUAUUACCUAGCCUGUGAAUAUCAAACAUCUAGGGCCAAUAUAAAACAUCUUGUGUUGCUUUCACCACCCUGGUUACCUGCUCCCUUCCCCAAGUAUCAGAGCCUCAUUGAUCCCAGUCACAGCUCCCUCAGUCCCUUAUCCAGACAAGGGUCUUAAAGCUGUCACAGUGGGGUGAAACUUUCCUUUAACAUUAGUCAGUGCUUGCUCCAGUCAUGGCUUCAGAGUAUUUUCUUUUGGAAGAUGGACUAAUGAGUCACAGCAUGAAAUGCAAGAAAUGCUCCUGGUCUGGUGUGAGAUGUCCAGGUGAGGUGUUACUCCUGAGCAGCAACUGCAGCCAAAAAGCAUUCCUGCAAGAUGUGGUUGGACCUGGCUGCAAAGGAGCCUCAGCUACACUACAGCAGAGGGACAGCCCAGGGAGGAGCACUGUGAACUCACAGGGCAUGGGUUCAGCUCUGGCAUAGAUGCUCAGAGGUAUGGAACCCCAGUCCUCCCUGCCAAUAUUCAGAUCUAAGCUCAACCAGGCCAUCAGCAACCUGACCAAGCUUUGAAAAUGGCUGCAUU
Neopelma chrysocephalum (saffron-crested tyrant-manakin) is the source of this 4311-nucleotide long non-coding RNA. RefSeq lists it as uncharacterized. Lineage: Eukaryota; Metazoa; Chordata; Aves; Passeriformes; Pipridae. The record is from RefSeq and is a predicted model, not a curated record. The transcript has 3 exons.